Molecule: non-coding RNA, 111 nt
Filed under: Eubacterium sp.
Lineage: Bacteria; Bacillati; Bacillota; Clostridia; Eubacteriales; Eubacteriaceae
Description: TPP sequence
Rfam family: TPP riboswitch aptamer (THI element)
About the family: Vitamin B(1) in its active form thiamin pyrophosphate (TPP) is an essential coenzyme that is synthesised by coupling of pyrimidine and thiazole moieties in bacteria. The previously detected thiamin-regulatory element, thi box was extended, resulting in a new, highly conserved RNA secondary structure, the THI element, which is widely distributed in eubacteria and also occurs in some archaea.
Source: RNAcentral
AGAAUAAAAACGGGGAGCUUGCGUAUCAAGCAGGCUGAGAGGGGGCUGAAUCGCCUCGACCCUUUACCUGAUUUGGAUAAUGCCAACGUAGGGAUAUAUACAGGCACGAGG